GCUCUGGUUUGUCUCCUUCCUCCAAACCACAGCAAGCUGUCCCUGUCCUCCAGACUUUGCUCAGGGUCUAUCACCUCCAGGGCUCAGUGUGAUAAUAGGUGAUUUGUAAUAAUUUCUCCCUUCUGUUUUACUAGUAAAUGAUAUUGAGAAAAAUGAAAAAAUGCAAGUAAAUAAAAGAGGAAAGGUGGAGUUACCAAUGGAAGAUCUCCAUCCUUUGUCAGGGCAGAGCCAGAUGGCCGUGUCCCAGGAAAUGUUGACCUUCAGGGAUGUGUUUGUGGACUUCACCCUGGAGGAGUGGCAGCAGCUG
Non-coding RNA from Delphinapterus leucas (beluga whale), 307 nucleotides. Lineage: Eukaryota; Metazoa; Chordata; Mammalia; Artiodactyla; Monodontidae. The record is from RefSeq and is a predicted model, not a curated record.